CGGGCCUGGGUCAGACUGUGGUGGGUAGCGGGUCCCGGGUUGCGGGUUGCAAGUUGCAAGCCGCAAGCCGCAGGCCCCAGGCAACUGCCUUCCCGGCGCCAUGUUCGGCUCCAGUCGCGGAGGCGUGCGCGGCGGGCAGGACCAGUUCAACUGGGAGGACGUGAAGACUGACAAGCAGCGGGAGAACUACCUGGGUGGGUGCGCGCGGUGGGCGGGCUCCGGGCUCCGGGAUCCCGGGCGGGCGCUGGACUUACAGCGUCUACGUCCGCAGGCAACUCGCUGAUGGCGCCCGUAGGCCGCUGGCAGAAGGGCCGCGACCUCACCUGGUACGCCAAGGGCCGGGCGCCGUGCGCGGGCCCGAGCCGCGAGGAGGAACUGGCAGCCGUGCGGGAGGCGGAGCGCGAGGCGCUGCUGGCCGCCCUUGGCUACAAGAACGUGAAGAAGCAACCCACGGGCCUGAGCAAGGAGGACUUCGCGGAGGUCUGCAAGCGGGAAGGAGGCGACCCCGAGGAGAAGGGCGUGGACCGGCUGCUGGGGCUGGGGAGCGCCAGUGGCUCCGUGGGCCGCGUGGCGAUGUCCCGAGAGGAUAAGGAGGCCGCCAAACUGGGGCUGUCUGUGUUCACGGUAAUCCCCCGCCCCGCCUGACCGCAGCAGGGGCCAACGAGUGGGGCGGGGCGGGGGCACUGAACGGAGCUCCCCGGGGCGCUGCGGAGCGUGGUGUGGGGCCGGCCCGCAGACUCCUCCGCAGAGCUCUCUUCUCCUGCAGCAUCACCGCGUAGAGAGCGGCGGGCCCGGGACCUCGGCAGCCUCGGCCAGGAGGAAGCCGCGGGCGGAGGAUCAGAGGGAAAGCAGUUGUGAGAGCCACAGGAAAAGCAAGAAGGAGAAGAAGAAAAAGAAAAAGAGAAAACACAAGAAACAGAAGAAGAAGAAAGACAAAGAACACAGGCGGCCAGCUGAGGCCACCUCCUCUCCCACAUCUCCUGAGAGGUAUGCCCUGGUCCAUGUCUGCCUCUUGGGGGUGGGGGCCUGGUUGACUCCUUCCGAGUGACUGCCAUUGGUCUCCCCAGGCCCAGGUACCACCACGACUCCGACUCCAACUCCCCCUGCUGUAAGAGGAGGAAGCGGGGACACAGUGGGGACAGGAGGAGCCCGUCGCGCAGGUGGCAUGACAGAGGCUCUGAGGCCUGAUGGCUGGACCCUGCUCACUGCUAUUGUGGGACCCUGAACCCUCUCUUCACCUUGCUUGCCUCCUGCCUCGGAAGCUCCUCGGGUGUGGGUGAAGCCCGAGGCUGCUCCUGUGGAAGUGGCUCUGGGCACCAGCCUGUGGGGCUAAAGACUUGACAGCUAGCUCUGGAGCAGCCAGCUUCCUGGAAAACCUCCAGGUUUCGCAUAGCAGGGGAUGGCCCCUGGCUUGCCUUGCGAAGGUGAACCUGCCCAGACGUACCAGUAGAGGCUGGACUCCCUCUGUCCUGCCCAUGGCUGCAGCAGCCAUGGGCCUAUGAGCGGUCUAACUGUGGCCAAGUAUGGUGACCUCUAUUUUUCUUUAUAUUGACUCUUUGUAUUUCAAUAAACAUAUUUUAAAAGGAA
RNAcentral lists this small RNA (1587 nucleotides) under Pongo abelii (Sumatran orangutan). Its description in RNAcentral is "processed transcript". The record is from RNAcentral. Lineage: Eukaryota; Metazoa; Chordata; Mammalia; Primates; Hominidae.